UUUCAUCUGUGCAAACGUGAAACGUCAAAACCACAAUGUCAAUUUAAUUCGAAAGUAAAAAUGAAAUUGAACUGCAAACGAUUCAGAGAUCACAUUUUCAUUGAAAACGCUAUCAAUUAUUGACGACUUUCGACGAAAAAUCAAAUCUAGACGAAAGCACGAAAUAUAAACUGAGAAAUAUGACGAAAACGAUCGAGAUGACAUCAUCAUAGGAAGAAAGAAAUCGUGAGGUGAUGUUUAAAUUGAUCGGAUUAAAUAGCGAGACAUCAAAUCAGGAAGAAGUUCAACAGAAAAUCCGAAACCAUGCAUUUCAUCGAUUUUUUAUUACAUGUAAUCUACAUCAUUUGCUGGGGUCUUAAAUCGCUUUACCAAUUUGUAAUCGAUUACAUAAUCCCCGUCAUCGGAUACGUUUUGCCAGUGCUAAUCAAAUAUCUAUCACAACUAUUUUCAUUGGUAUUGCGUAUAUUUUUUACGUAUAUUUCGCCAUGUGUUGUUCAAGUAUUGCAUGGCACCACAUUCGUAUUCACAAAUUUUUUAAACGGAAUCAGCGUUACAUCAUUGACAAUCAUCAAUUCAAAUGUGCAUUUUGAGUACUUUUAUGCAAUUAUAAUGGGCAGUGUAAUUAUAGCAAUUGUCUACUUUCGUAUAACACAAAAAAUAUUCCAAUUUUUCCACGAAUCAUACCAAAUGACAUCGUUGUAUCUUCGAUUUAUACUAAAUAUUCUGAAAAUGUUGCUUUUUUGUGCGAAUUUCAUCUAUAGAAAAGCAUCUGCUGUGCUACUUUGCGAACAAACACAGGAUCACAAAUCAGCCAUUAAAAAAGAGAAAAAACAUCACACAAUCCAAAGCAAUGGAGUUAACGGAUCAUCUAAUGGGUCAUUUAUUUAAUUUAUUUAAUUAACUGUAAAUAGUGGGAAAUAAUUGCGCCAAAUAUUCGAGACAAUUUGAAUUGAAUCAACGAAAUGCUGCUGUGAUUAGGAUCUAGAGUUCGCUUAUUAUUAUUUUUUUAAAUAAUUAAUUUUUGUGUUGCACAUAUCUACGGUGUAAUGUUUACUAAGCAUUCGUUAUGCGUACGACGCGUUUAUACGCUUAAUUUAGUCAUUUAUUUAAAAAAAAGUUUUGUUUUGGUUUUAACGAUCAAUUUAUAUUGCGAUCGAAGUUUUUGGUUUUGUGUUCAAUGUUCAUUUUUUAAGGUAGGAAAAAAAUGUAAAUAUUUGAAAUACAGACAUGAACAAUAGAACAUAAGGGCAAUAUAUUUUUCUAUCAUCAAUGAAUUAACAAAAAAUAAUAGUUAAAAAUCGAAACAAUUCGAAGACGAAAAAUUUCCAAAAAAGGAAAAACGAAGGGUUUCAAAAUUUCGCCAUGGCUUUAUAUGACAUUUACUUAAAAUUACGCUUUUUAUACUAGAAUUUGUUUGGUUUUUGACUUCAUAUAAUUCAAUUAAUUUUAUUUAUUUUGAUUCCAAUGAUCAUGAUUAUUUUGAUUCCAAGUUCGUGGAAACAUGUCAAUUCGACACCGUUUUGUAUUUUUUCAUCGAAAUAAAAUUACUCUCGAAUAUGACAAUUAA
Molecule: long non-coding RNA, 1567 nt
Organism: Contarinia nasturtii (swede midge)
Lineage: Eukaryota; Metazoa; Arthropoda; Insecta; Diptera; Cecidomyiidae
Exons: 2
Source: RefSeq, a predicted model, not a curated record